RNAcentral lists this ribosomal RNA (782 nucleotides) under Levilactobacillus brevis. RNAcentral describes it as "bacterial SSU rRNA". It matches the Rfam family "Bacterial small subunit ribosomal RNA", at positions 27 to 774 of the family's 1533-position model. The record is from RNAcentral. Lineage: Bacteria; Bacillati; Bacillota; Bacilli; Lactobacillales; Lactobacillaceae.
GGACGAACGCUGGCGGCAUGCCUAAUACAUGCAAGUCGAACGAGCUUCCGUUGAAUGACGUGCUUGCACUGAUUUYAACAAUGAAGCGAGUGGCGAACUGGUGAGUAACACGUGGGAAAUCUGCCCAGAAGCAGGGGAUAACACUUGGAAACAGGUGCUAAUACCGUAUAACAACAAAAUCCGCAUGGAUUUUGUUUGAAAGGUGGCUUCGGCUAUCACUUCUGGAUGAUCCCGCGGCGUAUUAGUUAGUUGGUGAGGUAAAGGCCCACCAAGACGAUGAUACGUAGCCGACCUGAGAGGGUAAUCGGCCACAUUGGGACUGAGACACGGCCCAAACUCCUACGGGAGGCAGCAGUAGGGAAUCUUCCACAAUGGACGAAAGUCUGAUGGAGCAAUGCCGCGUGAGUGAAGAAGGGUUUCGGCUCGUAAAACUCUGUUGUUAAAGAAGAACACCUUUGAGAGUAACUGUUCAAGGGUUGACGGUAUUUAACCAGAAAGCCACGGCUAACUACGUGCCAGCAGCCGCGGUAAUACGUAGGUGGCAAGCGUUGUCCGGAUUUAUUGGGCGUAAAGCGAGCGCAGGCGGUUUUUUAAGUCUGAUGUGAAAGCCUUCGGCUUAACCGGAGAAGUGCAUCGGAAACUGGGAGACUUGAGUGCAGAAGAGGACAGUGGAACUCCAUGUGUAGCGGUGGAAUGCGUAGAUAUAUGGAAGAACACCAGUGGCGAAGGCGGCUGUCUAGUCUGUAACUGACGCUGAGGCUCGAAAGCAUGGGUAGCGAACA